This is a non-coding RNA of Acetobacter sp. CAG:267, 74 nucleotides long. The record is from Rfam. Lineage: Bacteria; Pseudomonadati; Pseudomonadota; Alphaproteobacteria; Acetobacterales; Acetobacteraceae.
GGGUUUGUAGCUCAGGUGGUUAGAGCGCACGCCUGAUAAGCGUGAGGUCGGAAGUUCAAGUCUUCCCAGACCCA